GAGUUUGAUCGUGGCUCAGAUUGAACGCUGGCGGCAUGCCUUACACAUGCAAGUCGAACGGCAGCACGGGAGCUUGCUCCUGGUGGCGAGUGGCGAACGGGUGAGUAAUGCAUCGGAACGUAUCCUGGAGUGGGGGAUAACGUAGCGAAAGUUACGCUAAUACCGCAUAUUCUGUGAGCAGGAAAGCGGGGGACCUUCGGGCCUCGCGCUCUUGGAGCGGCCGAUGUCGGAUUAGCUAGUUGGUGAGGUAAAGGCUCACCAAGGCGACGAUCCGUAGCAGGUCUGAGAGGAUGAUCUGCCACACUGGAACUGAGACACGGUCCAGACUCCUACGGGAGGCAGCAGUGGGGAAUUUUGGACAAUGGGGGCAACCCUGAUCCAGCCAUGCCGCGUGAGUGAAGAAAGGCCUCGGUUGUAAGUACGUACUUUCGU
RNAcentral lists this ribosomal RNA (432 nucleotides) under bacterium enrichment culture clone ALO1_GLFRUDD03FV4KU. RNAcentral's name for it is "bacterial SSU rRNA". It matches the Rfam family "Bacterial small subunit ribosomal RNA", at positions 9 to 443 of the family's 1533-position model. The record is from RNAcentral.